CGUGUCGCCCGCCGAGUGAUCAAUCGCUGAGAGAACAUCGUUGGCACAGGUUUUAUUGAGUGUGGAUCAGCGAGGCAAUUUUUCGGGGAUGAGAUUUGAAAAUCGAGACAAACAUCCCGAAAAAGAGAAAGGAAGAAUUUCGUAUGUCUGACGAACAACACCUAGAUCUAAGCUUUCGAAGGAGAACACGAUCGUCUCGUGAUCGGUGACGCCGUUGUCGUCUACCUGCCGCGGCGAGCAACGAGAGAACAACGUGCGAACAGGUCGCGCCGGCGUCUCGAAGAUUACAAAUGUGGCGUUGACCCUGGUCGUUUCAGGGUCACGUGAGCGCUCCAAAUUAUAUGGAGCGAGUCGACGGAUGGCCAGAGCACGCCGUGGACGUGAUGGCCCGAUCGUGGCUAGGUCAUCAGCCGCUUACCGAUAUCGGUGUGCGCACACGAGCGGAUCGAGCGUCGUCGCCUCGACUUUAAACCGCAAUCUACACCAACACAUAGCGGAUAUCGAUGGUUGGUCGACGAUAACCGCGCAAGAUACGUUCGCCGAUGAUGACGAUGAUGAAAGGUGUCCACGACGCGUGCUUUCCACAUCUAGAUCACGGAACCUUUGCCCUCGAUUAACCCGUACGUGGUCUUUCGAACACUCGCGAACGUUCCUCUGAUUUAUUCCAACUGCUGUCUUCCUGACAUUUUCGUGCUCCGUACUGGUGAUUCAUCGUGCAAUUUUAUUGGAUAAUCGAAACCAAACCGAUCAACUUCGCUUUUUGUGAGCGAGAUUUUCAUUUAUAAAAAUAUACAGGAAUUGUCUGUAUAUCCUUACAACGAAUAUAUACAGUCCGAAUACACCUACAUGUUCGAUAUUUCAAGAAAAUUGAAGAAUUUACAAGCGCAUCUUCGA
Bombus huntii is the source of this 894-nucleotide long non-coding RNA. RefSeq lists it as uncharacterized. NCBI's taxonomy places the organism in Eukaryota, Metazoa, Arthropoda, Insecta, Hymenoptera, Apidae. The transcript has 2 exons. The record is from RefSeq and is a predicted model, not a curated record.